Nicotiana tabacum (common tobacco) is the source of this 745-nucleotide non-coding RNA. NCBI's taxonomy places the organism in Eukaryota, Viridiplantae, Streptophyta, Magnoliopsida, Solanales, Solanaceae. The record is from RefSeq and is a predicted model, not a curated record.
UCAUGCCUUUUCCUUUUCUUCCCAAGGUUCCACGUGUUAAAGGAAGACAUAGCAAAAACACUAAAAAUCAAAUACCCUUUCAUUCUCUCCGUCUCCUGCUUCCGGAAUCUGUUAUGACAUGCUCAACAAUUAUCUAAUCUGUCGGAGAUGAAAGGAGAAGAAAACAGUCGUGUAGAAGUCUAUUCAUUUUGGUGAGUUUUUUUCUGUAAUUUUCCUUUGUUUGUUGGUAGUCACAAUUUGAUGGGUAUACGUUAGUUUCCUGUUCUUUUGGUUGACAUAUGUUUUUUCUUCAGACGUUUUAUUUGUUGGAUUUCUACAUGCAUGCCAAAGAUUUAGUUGGGUUUUCUCAUCAUUCGUGAUAUGUAUUUGAUCCUUAGUGCAUCGGCUAUUUAGGAUUCUUUACCCGGGUACAUUUUGGGCCCCUUACCUUAUAUAGUGUGCAGGUGAUUCCAUCCUUAAAGAUGAGUGGUAUUCAAUAGAGCUCUAAUAUACUGGUGGUAUCUUCACAUCUUUAAUAACAAUAUUAGACAUGUGCGGAUAUGGGAGAAACGAAUAUGGGUGAAUGUGUAUUAUAAAACUGAGAUUUUUAUAGUUACUUAGAUCUUGCGUAUGAAAGUCUUACAUUGACUAGAUAAGAGGGCAAGAAUAUAUUUCUCUGACAAUCAAAAGACCUAUUCCUUCUGUCCGAUUUAGCAUAGUGUACGAAAGCAAACAUGGUGCUGGUUUCAAUUGCUGGGUUACAAAU